This 254-nucleotide ribosomal RNA is filed under the name uncultured bacterium. RNAcentral's name for it is "partial 16S ribosomal RNA". It matches the Rfam family "Bacterial small subunit ribosomal RNA", at positions 524 to 776 of the family's 1533-position model. The record is from RNAcentral.
CACGUAGGGGCCAAGCGUUGUCCGGAUUUAUUGGGCGUAAAGAGCUCGUAGGCGGCUCGGUAAGUCGGGUGUGAAACCUCCAGGCUCAACCUGGAGACGCCACCCGAUACUGCUGUGGCUAGAGUCCGGUAGGGGAGCGUGGAAUUCCUGGUGUAGCGGUGAAAUGCGCAGAUAUCAGGAGGAACACCGGUGGCGAAGGCGGGUCUCUGGGCCGAUACUGACGCUGAGGAGCGAAAGCGUGGGGAGCAAACAGG